Molecule: ribosomal RNA, 123 nt
Filed under: Chitinophagaceae bacterium
Lineage: Bacteria; Pseudomonadati; Bacteroidota; Chitinophagia; Chitinophagales; Chitinophagaceae
Description: partial 16S ribosomal RNA
Rfam family: Bacterial small subunit ribosomal RNA
Source: RNAcentral
GGUGUACCUAAAGUCGGUAACCGCAAGGAGCCGCCUAGGGUAAAACUAGUAACUGGGGCUAAGUCGUAACAAGGUAGCCGUAUCGGAAGGUGCGGCUGGAAUACCUCCUUUUUAGAGCUCUUU